Molecule: ribosomal RNA, 776 nt
Filed under: uncultured archaeon
Lineage: Archaea
Description: bacterial SSU rRNA
Rfam family: Archaeal small subunit ribosomal RNA
Source: RNAcentral
ACGGGGUGCAGCAGGCGCGAAACCUCCACAAUUCACGCAAGUGAGAUGGGGUUACCUCGAGUGCCGUCUGAAGAAGGCGGCUUUUCCAUGGUGUAAUAAGCCGUGGGAAUAAGGGGGGGGCAAGACUGGUGUCAGCCGCCGCGGUAACACCAGCCCCCCGAGUGGUGGGGAUGAUUAUUUGGCCUAAAGCGUCCGUAGCCGGCUUUGUAAAUCUCUCGUUAAAUCCAGCGUCCUAAGCGUUGGGCUGCGAGAGACACUGCAGAGCUAGAGGGUGGGAGAGGUCAGCGGUAUUCCUGGGGUAGGGGCGAAAUCCAUUGAUCCCAGGAGGACCACCAGUGGCGAAGGCUGCUGUCCAGAACACGCCUGACGGUCAGGGACGAAAGCUGGGGUAGCGAAUCGGAUUAGAUACCCGAGUAGUCCCAGCCGUAAACGAUGCAGGCUAGGUGUUGGGUCGGCCACGCGCCGCCUCAGUGCCACAGGGAAGCCAUUAAGCCUGCCGCCUGGGGAGUACGGCCGCAAGGCUGAAACUUAAAGGAAUUGGCGGGGGAGCACCACCAGGCGUGAAGCCUGCGGUUUAAUUGGAGUCAACGCCGGGAACCUUACCGGGAGCGACAGCAGAGUGAAGGCCAGGCUGAAGGUCUUGCCAGACGAGCUGAGAGGAGGUGCAUGGCCGUCGCCAGUUCGUGCCGUGAGGUGUCCUCUUAAGUGAGGUAACGAACGAGACCCGUGCCCCAUGUUGCCAGCAAAUCCUAAAGGGAUGUUGGGCACUCUUGGGG